Molecule: small nucleolar RNA, 102 nt
Filed under: Suricata suricatta (meerkat)
Lineage: Eukaryota; Metazoa; Chordata; Mammalia; Carnivora; Herpestidae
Description: Small nucleolar RNA U13 (ENSSSUG00005003822.1)
Rfam family: Small nucleolar RNA U13
Source: Rfam by way of RNAcentral
AUCUUUUUGUAGUUCAUAAGCGUGAUGAUUGGGCGUUCAGCCGUUGUGUGACAUGUGCCACCCUUAAACCUUGUUACGAGCCGGCACAUUAUCCAUCUGAUG